UUGGGUUCUCAUCUACGCUUAAUGCUUUUAUCGUUUAACUCGUUCGAUAACUGUUGUUUGUCUCUAUUGGUACGAGAACGUACAGUACUGUCAUGAACUGGUGAGAAAUUCCUUGAUUGAGCAAUACCAACCUAGGGAUAGGGGGUAGGACGAUCAAUUGUUUUUGCUUCUGUUCUUAAUGCGUUAUUAAUUGCUAGGGGAGGCUAGGGAUAACAAGCCGGUAAUUAGUAAUAGGCUCUUUUCGCCGAGGGAUCGGGUUAAGGGUAGGCCAAGAAAGUUUGCAUAACAAUUAGAUAAUCAAGAACAUUAAACAAGAGGAGUAGAUAAGGGGGAGUGAAUAAGAUGAAAUUGUCAACCCCCAAUAACUCCAUUCAUCCAUAGUCUUUUUCGUCAAUUGAAUCAAAUACAUUGCAUGCUUAUUUUCUGUCUUUGCAUCCACAACAAUUAAUCUUUUUCUACAAGUCUUACGAUUUUGAUUAACACGAAUGAUCCUUUCGAGUCUCUUGGGAAGAACGAUAUCGAGCAUUACCGAUUAUAUUACUUGCACGAUCUGGUACACUUUCCAGUGAGUCAACACAAGAUCAUUACACCAUGAUAGGAUCAUGUAAAGUUAGAUUAAGUUUGUCCAUGUCAAAGUUAGAGUAAUAUAGAAUUUGACUUCUACAAAUGAGUAGAUAAGUCAAACAAGCAUACAAGUAGAGAAAAAG
RNAcentral lists this long non-coding RNA (707 nucleotides) under Vigna radiata. RNAcentral's name for it is "long non-coding RNA (VRAD_LNC012011)". The record is from RNAcentral. Lineage: Eukaryota; Viridiplantae; Streptophyta; Magnoliopsida; Fabales; Fabaceae.